This 226-nucleotide long non-coding RNA is filed under the name Fukomys damarensis (Damara mole-rat). RNAcentral's name for it is "lncRNA (ENSFDAG00000029757.1)". The record is from RNAcentral. Lineage: Eukaryota; Metazoa; Chordata; Mammalia; Rodentia; Bathyergidae.
AGAAGCUCCAACUGCCACUAAUGAAUAAGGAGAAAAGCUGCACUUUCUAAGUUUUGGUUAGCAGGUAGUGAGUUUAUUAAAGACUCCAUAUGAAGCACGAAUGGACAGGCCUACUGAUGGGCUCAAGCAUUCUGAUACCAGAGUUUGCUCUUCCCCUCAGGAUGGCUUGAAGGUGCCCAUGUUGUCUGAAAUAGGUCUCAAUCACUUUUCCUUAACUGAUACUAAA